AUCCAUGCUGGAAUAGACGAUAAUCACCUUUCCCGAUGUGCCGCGAAUAGCGAUAGGUGUCUUCUGGACACCCAAC
Molecule: ribosomal RNA, 76 nt
Organism: Phytophthora infestans T30-4
Lineage: Eukaryota; Oomycota; Peronosporomycetes; Peronosporales; Peronosporaceae
Source: RefSeq, a predicted model, not a curated record